CCCCAGUGUCCUAGACAGGGAUUAGCAGUGC
RNAcentral lists this non-coding RNA (31 nucleotides) under Rattus norvegicus (Norway rat). The record is from RNAcentral. Lineage: Eukaryota; Metazoa; Chordata; Mammalia; Rodentia; Muridae.